RNAcentral lists this ribosomal RNA (459 nucleotides) under uncultured bacterium. Its description in RNAcentral is "partial 16S ribosomal RNA". It matches the Rfam family "Bacterial small subunit ribosomal RNA", at positions 339 to 795 of the family's 1533-position model. The record is from RNAcentral.
CCUCGGGAGGCAGCAGUGAGGAAUAUUGGUCAAUGGGCGCGAGCCUGAACCAGCCAAGUAGCGUGAAGGAUGACUGCCCUACUGGUUGUAAACUUCUUUUAUAAAGGAAUAAAGUGAGGCCCGGUUGCCUUUUUUUAUUUACUUUAUUAAUAAGGAUCGGCUAACUCCGUGCCAGCAGCCGCGGUAAUACGGAGGAUCCGGGCGUUAGCCGGAUUUAUUGGGUUUAAAGGGGGCGUAGAUGGGUUGUUAAGUCAGUUGUGAAAGUUUGCGGGUCAACCGUAAAAUUGCAAUUGAUACUGGCAGUCUUGAGUACAGUUGAGGUAGGCGGAAUUCGUGGUGUAGCGGUGAAAUGCUUAGAUAUCACGAAGAACUCCGAUUGCGAAGGCAGCUUACUAAACUGACACUGACAUUGAUGCUCGAAAGUGUGGGUAUCAAACAGGAUUAGAUACCCGGGUAGUC